Molecule: ribosomal RNA, 845 nt
Filed under: uncultured bacterium
Lineage: Bacteria
Description: bacterial SSU rRNA
Rfam family: Bacterial small subunit ribosomal RNA
Source: RNAcentral
UUUAAUCCUGGCUCAGGACGAAACGCUGGCGGGCGUGCCUAACACAUGCAAGUCGAGCGAUGAAAAAGAAGUAGAUCUCUUCGGAGUGACACCUCUUUGGAUUAGCGGCGGACGGGUGAGUAACACGUGAGCAACCUGCCGUACACAUUGGGAUAGCCUCGGGAAACUGGGAUUAAUACCAAACGAAACAUAUUGAUAGCAUUAUCAAAAUGUCAAAGAUUUAUCGGUGUACGAUGGGCUCGCGUCUGAUUAGCUAGUUGGUGAGAUAAAAGCUCACCAAGGCAAUGAUCAGUAGCCGGCCUGAGAGGGUGAUCGGCCACAUUGGGACUGAGACACGGCCCAAACUCCUACGGGAGGCAGCAGUGGGGAAUAUUGCACAAUGGAGGGAACUCUGAUGCAGCGACGCCGCGUGAGCGAAGAAGGAAUUCGUUUCGUAAAGCUCUGUCCUAUGGGAAGAUAAUGACGGUACCAUAGAAGAAAGCCCCGGCUAACUACGUGCCAGCAGCCGCGGUAAUACGUAGGGGGCGAGCGUUGUCCGGAAUUAUUGGGCGUAAAGGGUUCGUAGGCGGUAAUACAUGCCAGAUGUGAAAUCUUGUGGCUUAACCACAUCAAGCAUCUGAAACUGUAUAACUUGAGUGGAGGAGAGGUAAGUGGAAUUCCUAGUGUAGCGGUGAAAUGCGUAGAUAUUAGGAAGAAUACCAGUAGCGAAGGCGACUUACUGGCCUCUAACUGACGCUGAUGAACGAAAGCGUGGGUAGCAAACAGGAUUAGAUACCCUGGUAGUCCACGCCGUAAACGACGAGUGCUAGGUGUCGGGUGUCAAAGCUCGGUGCCGCAGCUAACGC